UGGGGAAUAUUGCACAAUGGGCGCAAGCCUGAUGCAGCGACGCCGCGUGAGGGAUGACGGCCUUCGGGUUGUAAACCUCUUUCAAUAGGGACGAAGCGCAAGUGACGGUACCUAUAGAAGAAGGACCGGCCAACUACGUGCCAGCAGCCGCGGUAAUACGUAGGGUCCGAGCGUUGUCCGGAAUUACUGGGCGUAAAGAGCUCGUAGGUGGUUUGUCGCGUUGUUCGUGAAAACUCACAGCUUAACUGUGGGCGUGCGGGCGAUACGGGCAGACUAGAGUACUGCAGGGGAGACUGGAAUUCCUGGUGUAGCGGUGGAAUGCGCAGAUAUCAGGAGGAACACCGGUGGCGAAGGCGGGUCUCUGGGCAGUAACUGACGCUGAGGAGCGAAAGCGUGGGGAGCGAACAGGAUUAGAUACCCUGGUAGUCCACGCCGUAAACGGUGGGUACUAGGUGUGGGUUUCCUUCCUUGGGAUCCGUGCCGUAGCUAACGCAUUAAGUACCCCGCCUGGGGAGUACGGCCGCAAGGCUAAAACUUAAAUGAAUUGACGGGGUCAUAGCUGUUUCCU
Molecule: ribosomal RNA, 568 nt
Filed under: uncultured bacterium
Lineage: Bacteria
Description: partial 16S ribosomal RNA
Rfam family: Bacterial small subunit ribosomal RNA
Source: RNAcentral